GGAGGACUCGCAGGACUCAGGACAUAGUCACACUCAAGGCUGUGAUUUCUUACAGAGAGAGGACAUACAGCAGAAUCAGCACAGGGAAUAGGCACGUGAAGUGAAGUCCAGAAGAAACCGUGUGUAAGCUUCCACGAGUUCUCUCGCAGUGUAGUCACGUAGGCGUGCUUGACUCCUCCAGCAGCAAGUUGUGCCUGCGCCUGUGAAAUAUCUACCAGGGAAGCUUCUCAGAAACUCGGUGCCUAAGGUUUUAUUGGGGGCUGGUCACAUGACACCCUCUACCUGGCAUGCACCAAUUCCUGGACUCCCAGAGGGAAAGCAGGUGUUUAGCAUAUACCACAUUGUACAAACAGUCUUGGCCCGGUGAACCAGUCUUAGCACUUCUGGGAAUGCUGGGCACCCUCCUGAAAUCCUGGUUCCCAGACACCAGCCAGGGGCCAACCUUGCAAGCAGGCCAUUCUAAGGAUAGCACUUCCAGUCCUGCUGUGUUUACUGUUUUCUGCACAGGAUGCGUGGGUAACUUUAGUUUCUGUAUUGUUGGAUAUAUUAUUAUUAGAGACAGUGGAAGUCAACAAAGUGUUUCUUAAGAAAACAAGGGAAAAUUUUGGAAAAGUACAGCUUUUGUUAGGCUGGUAUAGGAAUAGUUUUUCUAUUUAUCUACCACUCUCAUUUGUUUCUCUAUCCAAUGGAUGUAAAGUAAGCAUGGUAAGAUUCUUAUAUGCCCCUACUUGCGUAUAAGGGAGGGGUGGAAAGUCAAGGAUGUGACCAUGUGGCCUGGGUAGCCUCGGUGGUUAGUGACCUAGCCAUUUUUGGUUCCUAGCAAUGGCAAAAUCAAGUUGCUAAGGUAGUUUCAAAUAGUAAUUGUUUUUUUGCCGUGCAUGUUUUCCCCUGUUCUGCUCUGUUUUAUCAUGCUAGCUGUUAUCUUACUUUUCAUUUUCGUGAUGUUUAAAAAUUUUGGUUAGAAAUAUUUUUCUUUAAGCUUUUUGAGGGUAGUUUUUUUUUUUUCAUGAGGACUGACAAAUAACUGUAUGCUGGCUCCAUAUUUCUGCAGAGCUUGCAAUCCGAAGAGCUACUCUAAAUAGGUCCUUUACUCCUGUCUUUUUGGGAAGUGCCUUGAAGAACAAAGGCGUCCAGCCUCUCUUAGAUGCUGUUUUAGAGUAUCUACCGAAUCCAUCUGAAGUCCCGAAUUAUGCUCUUCUUCAUCAGGAGGAUGAUUCAAAAGAAAAAACCAAAAUCUUAAUGAACUCCAAAAGAGACAGUUCUCACCCAUUCGUAGGCCUGGCUUUUAAACUGGAGGUAAGUUGCUUUCUAAUGUAUUUAACUGCUGUAGGUAGAGAUUUUCUUUUCUUUUAGGUUUUUAUUCCUAUUAUAAAUUGACUCAUAAAAGAUUUGGUUACAGGGUUCUCUGCUAUAAAGUUACUCUUUUUUCCCCCUUUUGAUACUGACUCUUUAGAGGAAGUUACUAUGCACAGCCACAGUUAAGGGGUGGGGC
RNAcentral lists this long non-coding RNA (1492 nucleotides) under Equus caballus (horse). RNAcentral describes it as "lncRNA (ENSECAG00000045959.1)". Lineage: Eukaryota; Metazoa; Chordata; Mammalia; Perissodactyla; Equidae. The record is from RNAcentral.